ACAACUGGAUUCACUUGCUAAACCCAAACCACAGUCUGCACUACCAAAAGUCACCUGAGCUAAACCGUUCACAUCACCUGCAUAAAAUCAUUCCAAGCAACACAACUCUUCACACGUCUCAAACAGGCUCAGUGCAGCAAAACACUAUGAACAAG
Etheostoma cragini (Arkansas darter) is the source of this 155-nucleotide long non-coding RNA. RefSeq lists it as uncharacterized. The transcript is spliced from 4 exons. The record is from RefSeq and is a predicted model, not a curated record. Lineage: Eukaryota; Metazoa; Chordata; Actinopteri; Perciformes; Percidae.